AAAAAAAAAGGAAUAGAGUGUGCCAACAGCUUAGAUAUAGAGUGUGAGAGAGAAGAGUGGAGGCUGGUUCUCAGGCUCCAGAAGCAUAAGCCUGCAUGGAGCAUAGCGUCACUGAGCAAGACAGGUGUGGAGGAUGAGAAGCGGGCCACAGGAUGGGAAGGGAAUCUGUGUGGAGGCGGUGCCCUAAACAUGCUGCCUUGAGGAGGGACCUCUACAUGGGGUGGCCGGGCACAGCCAGGCUACCCAUGGGGACCUCAACAGCUUUGCCAUUGCACACUAUCUUUGCAGACAAGAUCUUAAUCACAUCCAACUUUCUGCAGUUGCACAGGGUACCUCAGACCCACAUCCCAGAUGACAUUCCUCAGAAGCUCGCAGCUGGAGAUGACAUCACCUUAGACAACAUCACCCUAGCCCAAGACAUCGCUAUUAGAGAUACAUCACCUGGACACUAAAGCCUCCAACCCAGUGACACUCUCAAGGUGCUGACAAAAUGGACAUGGACAUUUGUUGCUUUUCUUCUUUUGAAUUAGGAACUCUAUUGUGUUUCCUGAAUUUACUGUCUGCUUGGCCCAUGAUCCUGGUAUGUUCCUUGCUCUCUGCCAAAACAUGCACCGUCCCCUCCACACCUAAAGGAAAACCUGGUAGAAGCUACUACUCUCAAUGCCAUUCUAAAAUUGACGAAGAGUAUUAUUUUCCCCAAGAGGCAGCUGCUGCAGGCCAGUGAAUCCUCUGGACCCUGGGGAGAGGGUCAUACACUCCCUAGUGACUUCUACUGUAUGCUCCAGCUUUCCACCAGGACCUCCUGCCCUGUCCCCAACUGUAACGACCACAACCACCCCAUCCCCUUGGUUACACACAAAUAUCACCAGUCUUUACAUGUACUUUACUGACUUCUCAGAUAAUACCCUCCAACAAGAUAACUGCAGGACUUGCCACCAUGACCUGAGAAAUACACCAAGAUAUUAUUGUCCAAUUUUUUUGAGAUAUAUAUAUAUUUCUCAUACUUUUAACAUACUCUGCAAUCCACCAAGAUAUUGGUAGAGACCCUGGAAAUUUCAAAUCUAUUUCGUCUGCUAAUGCCAUGUGAAUGGGAAACUUAGAUACAGGCUGGCCUACAAGGACUCCUUAUACUUCAAUUUUUGUUCCUCCUUUCAACUCUCAUAAAAAAUAUUUUCUGUAC
Molecule: long non-coding RNA, 1180 nt
Filed under: Homo sapiens (human)
Lineage: Eukaryota; Metazoa; Chordata; Mammalia; Primates; Hominidae
Description: LYRM4 antisense RNA 1
Source: RNAcentral